This 327-nucleotide ribosomal RNA is filed under the name uncultured eukaryote. RNAcentral's name for it is "partial 18S ribosomal RNA". It matches the Rfam family "Eukaryotic small subunit ribosomal RNA", at positions 1470 to 1796 of the family's 1831-position model. The record is from RNAcentral.
CCCUUAGAUGUCCUGGGCCGCACGCGCGUUACACUGAUGCAUUCAACGAGCUUAUAACCUUGGCCGAGAGGCCUGGGCAAUCUUGUUAACGUGCAUCGUGAUAGGGAUAGAUUAUUGAAAUUAUUAAUCUUGAACGAGGAAUUCCUAGUAAACGCAGAUCAUCAAUCUGCAUUGAUUACGUCCCUGCCCUUUGUACACACCGCCCGUCGCACCACCGAUUGGAUGGUCCGGUGAAGCCUCGGGAUUGUGGUUCUUGCCGCUUUAUUGUGGCGUGACCGCGAGAACUUGUCUAAACCUUAUCAUCUAGAGGAAGGUGAAGUCGUAACA